UACAGAGGUCUCAAGCGUUGUUCGGAUUCAUUGGGCGUAAAGGGUGCGUAGGUGGCGGGGUAAGUCAGGUGUGAAAUCUCGAGGCUCAACCUCGAAACUGCACUUGAUACUGCCUUGCUCGAGUACUGGAGAGGAGAUUGGAAUUCUCGGUGUAGCAGUGAAAUGCGUAGAUAUCGAGAGGAACACCAGUGGCGAAGGCGAGUCUCUGGACGACUCCUGACACUGAGGCACGAAAGCUGGGGGAGCAAACAGG
Molecule: ribosomal RNA, 253 nt
Filed under: uncultured bacterium
Lineage: Bacteria
Description: partial 16S ribosomal RNA
Rfam family: Bacterial small subunit ribosomal RNA
Source: RNAcentral